UUGCACGGUGCUAACCCUGGGCUUGUCGGAUUCAAAUCCCCUGAAGAAGGAAGCCCCAAUGCCUGUGCCAGAUCCAACCGUGCCCUUCAGUGUUGCAGGUCAUGAUGCUUCGAGCUUGUGAUUGAUCUGUGUCAACGUAAUGGAUACAUUU
This 151-nucleotide small nucleolar RNA is filed under the name Leersia perrieri. RNAcentral's name for it is "snoRNA snoR134". It matches the Rfam family "small nucleolar RNA snoR134". The record is from Rfam by way of RNAcentral. Lineage: Eukaryota; Viridiplantae; Streptophyta; Magnoliopsida; Poales; Poaceae.